RNAcentral lists this ribosomal RNA (315 nucleotides) under Triticum aestivum (bread wheat). Its description in RNAcentral is "partial small subunit ribosomal RNA". Lineage: Eukaryota; Viridiplantae; Streptophyta; Magnoliopsida; Poales; Poaceae. The record is from RNAcentral.
AUGUUCAAAAUAAAUUUGCCAUGGUGUAAAAAAGGAAUUUGCCAUGAUUUGUUCAACAAAUGUUUACAAAUUACCAUGGCUUAUUCAAUAAAUGUGCCAUGUUCAAAAAAACAUUUAUUGACCAUGGUACAAAAAAUAAAUUUGCCAUGGUUUAAAUCUAAAUUUGGCAUAGUCCAAUAUAAAAUUUGCCAUGGGACAAAAAAUAAUUUUUUCCAUGGUCAAAAUAUAAAUUACCAUGGCAGAAACGAAAACAAUAUACCAUGUGCUGUGUUUGUUGCUUUCUCUGCCCUGCUUUGCUUCUUUGCCUUGCUCUAG